Molecule: ribosomal RNA, 265 nt
Filed under: uncultured bacterium
Lineage: Bacteria
Description: partial 16S ribosomal RNA
Rfam family: Bacterial small subunit ribosomal RNA
Source: RNAcentral
CCGGCGACCGGCGCACGGGUGAGUAACACGUAUGCAACCUGCCCUCUUCAGGGGGACAACCUUCCGAAAGGGGGGCUAAUCCCGCGUAUAUCGGUUUCGGGCAUCCGAGAUCGAGGAAAGAUUCAUCGGAAGAGGAUGGGCAUGCGGCGCAUUAGCUAGACGGCGGGGUAACGGCCCACCGUGGCGACGAUGCGUAGGGGUUCUGAGAGGAAGGUCCCCCACACUGGUACUGAGACACGGACCAGACUCCUACGGAAGGCAGCAG